UUUUACCCUUGAACAUUUGCUGUCUUUUUUUAACUACUAGGGAUGCUGAAGCAGCUUUUCUAGACUGGUUACUACCAGUGGUGGCUGGAGAGCAUGGACUGCCACUUGAGAGCAUCCCAGACUGCAAGAAGCAUGAGAAGGAUGAAUUGCUGGAGAUAAGCUGACAGGAGGUACAUUCCUGUUUGGGAGCAGAUGACACCUCCUCCAGUUUGUAAGAGAGUGAUAAAGAUAUUAUGAAGACAGAAGAGCUGCCUUGGCUGUCCUUGGAUCUCUCUCAGCGAGUUUCCGUGGAGUAUGGGAGGAGGCCCACGGGGCUGCCCCAGCCUGGGAAGAGAAAGCGGGGAAGCGCGAGGAGCAGCACUGCGGAGUUCACAGCAAAGGCGGACGGCGCGAAGAUCACUAACCAACUCCACAGGCAGGGCUGCUGUGGCAAGUGAAAUCCUUUUCAUAGUAUCAGCUCGACUCUAACACACAGAAGUAUUAAGUAGGGCUAUCCGGGAAGCAAAAAUCAAAUUUCAGGAAAACAAAUCAUCUUUCUGUUAUUUAGGGUUACAUUAGAUUACAAGGUCAGAAUAGACCACUGUGCUCAUUGAACAAAUCUCUUGUAUAAUGCUGUCCAAAAACCACUUAUAAAAACAUUUGUGUUUGAGUAGGAAGGUAUAUUUUAGGAAAAUCACCAAGUCUUCAUUUCCAAGAUGCAUGUGAUGUAAAACUACCACGGCUUUCACUUGUUCAACUCAGUUAAAUCAUCCCCAUUGCUAAAUCUUUGGAAUAUCUGACUGCCAUUUUUUCCAGCUGUAAUAGUCUGCACUGGGACCAAAUUCAAAUCCUUUGAAUUUUCCCAAGAAAAAAACAAGAAGCAAUAGACAGACAUCUUCAAAAAUCAAGUAGUUUGGUAGACCAAAGCUCUUUUAUGUGAAAAUGAUCCAUUCACUAUGUUUUGGUAAGCUGGAAAGAAACAUGCAAAGUCUCUGUGCUGUCAUUGCUUGUCAGCAUUGUAAGGGACCUGUAAUUCUUUCUUGUAAACUAUUGCUGUGAAAAAGAGGCAUUCCCUUGAUUAGUUCCCUUUCUAAGUAUUCCUUGCACUAAGCAAGAAUCCAGAAAUUUCCAAUAAUAUAAAGAAGAUGAAUGCCAAAUAUUAGAUAUAUGUGGUAAAAAAUUAAUCUGUUAAAAAUUAUCGUGAUCUGGUAAUUAGCCAUUCACAAAUCUUUACCGCUGAGGGAGAUAUUUUUUCCUUCCUUAUUAAUGGGUUAUAUAA
Long non-coding RNA from Rhea pennata, 1258 nucleotides. RefSeq lists it as uncharacterized. The record is from RefSeq and is a predicted model, not a curated record. Lineage: Eukaryota; Metazoa; Chordata; Aves; Rheiformes; Rheidae. The transcript has 3 exons.